UAAAUAACUAUAACUAGAGGCUCUAAAGAGCCCGUGUCGCUCACCUUGGUCUAUGUGAAUAUUAAACAAAGGAAGCAGAUGGAUUCAUGACAAAAUUGUGUUUUGGUGAUGGUGAUGUGUUUGUACGUCUUACUUUACUGAACAUUCUUGCUGCUUACAGUUAUCUCUAUCUAUAAUGAACUUGGCCCAGUAGUUUCAGUAGAAAAUGUUAGUAAAAAUUUACAAUUUUAUAAAAAUUGUUAAAAAUUGACUAUAAAGGACAAUAACUCCUUAGGGGUCAAUUGACCAUUUCAGUCAUGUUGACUUAUUUGUAAAUCUUACUUUGCUGUACAUUAUUGCUGUUUAAAGUUUAUCUCUAUCUAUAAUAAUAUUCAAGAUAAUAACCCAAAACAGUAAAAUUUCCUUAAAAUUACCAAUUUAGGGGCAGCAACCCAACAACGGGUUGUGCAUUUCAUCUGAAAAUUUCAGGGCAGAUAGAUUUUGACCUGAUAAACAAUUUUACCCUGUCAGAUUUGC
RNAcentral lists this long non-coding RNA (516 nucleotides) under Mytilus galloprovincialis (Mediterranean mussel). The record is from RNAcentral. Lineage: Eukaryota; Metazoa; Mollusca; Bivalvia; Mytilida; Mytilidae.